UUAUUCAACAGGACAACAUGAAACCAUAUAGGGCCAGAAUAGCUUGUGCCAAAUUACAAGAAUUUGAUCUAGGAUAUUUCCCUGCCUCAUAUCAUCAAUUAUCAUCUGUUUCAUGCCUUGAACAGUAUUUUUCUGGGAAGUUUCAAAAUGUCAAAAGGUGCACCAAACUCUGUCUGAAUUUUUUUGGAUCGAAUUCCUGGAUUUCUUCAAAUCUGUCAUUCAAAAACUUGAACAAUGAGAGAAGGUUGUAAGCAUUGGGGGUUCUUAUUAUGAUGAUUAAAAGAUCUGUUUUAGGUAAAUUUCAUUUGUUUUCUUUACAUGUGCAAAAGCAUCAUUUAUGG
Molecule: long non-coding RNA, 341 nt
Filed under: Androctonus crassicauda
Lineage: Eukaryota; Metazoa; Arthropoda; Arachnida; Scorpiones; Buthidae
Source: RNAcentral